RNAcentral lists this long non-coding RNA (357 nucleotides) under Musa acuminata (dwarf banana). Its description in RNAcentral is "long non-coding RNA (MACU_LNC009254)". The record is from RNAcentral. Lineage: Eukaryota; Viridiplantae; Streptophyta; Magnoliopsida; Zingiberales; Musaceae.
UUCCUCAGGAACAGGUGAAAUCUUUCCAAUCCCUUCAACUCUGUUUUUCAUUUAGGUUUCCAUAUGCUUAUUCUCUCACCUUGGAGCUCACUAUUGAGUUUUCUUUCUUGAGAGAUUCUAAUUUGAGUGUAAGAUGAGGGUCCCACUAGGCAGCCCAUAGUGCCUUCUGUUCUUGCAGGAUCCUUUUUGAGCAUGAACUUGGAGCAACACAAGGAUACGAGAUUACCUUGGCAAGAUUAGUGUUGGUUUGAUUCACCUUGCCAGUACACUUGCAUAUUAUUUACCUCAGCAAGGUUAUCUAGGUUGGCUCUUAUCCUACUUGGCAUGACGACUAAAUCUGAUCCCAUAAAGGCUGCA